UUUUAUUUUAAUGUUUUUAUUUUUUUAUAUUUUUUUUAUAUAUUUAUUUUUUUAUUUCUUUUUUUAAUCUUAUGCGUUAAUAUCUAGCAUAUUGUAUUUAUAAAUAUUUAAUGAUUAUUUUUUAAGUGACGCUGUUUUAUUAUUUUUUUUUUUUUUUCAAUUUAACAGCUGGUGUUUUUGAUGAUAACUGGUAUUUCUCAUGAAUAUCGGAUUGAGUCAGCGAAUGUUCGAGACUGCUACGAAAGCGAGUUUAACGUUAAAUUAAUUGAUUUCUGCUCACUUAGAACUAUAUUACGCCAAUAUUGGUGGUGGUGUUUUUAGGAAUUCGCAAUAUAAUUUAUACAAAAAAACUGAUAUUUGACGAAGCAAAAGCUGUUUGUGUUUCAUAAAUAUGAAAUUGCCAAUGUCAUUCUGGCUUUUUUAAUGUGCUCAGCCAAUACCAAGAGACAUUUUUGCUAAACUUUAACCGGUUGCGCUUAAGCGAAAUAAGACUGUUUAGAAGUAUGUAUGCACCAAUAUAAAUAUGGGCAUUUGUAAAAUAUUGGUUAGGAAUGAGUUGAAAUAUUUGGGAUGACUUGGAAUUUUUGGCGACUUGUUUCAAAACAUGCAAAUAUUUUAUUUAAUAUUUUUAAUUCCAAACAAAAACAAAAUUUUGAAAGCUU
This is a long non-coding RNA of Bactrocera dorsalis (oriental fruit fly), 662 nucleotides long. RefSeq lists it as uncharacterized. NCBI's taxonomy places the organism in Eukaryota, Metazoa, Arthropoda, Insecta, Diptera, Tephritidae. The transcript has 3 exons. The record is from RefSeq and is a predicted model, not a curated record.